GGAUAUGAGGGCCAUCAGGCUGCUAGGCAGGUGUACCCUUCCUCCUCAUCACUCCAAGUGUGUCCCUCCUGAAGCUGCGUACUCAGUGGAAUAGGACAAAGCCCCAAAAGAGGAAGAUGUUUCUUUGAACAUGGGUAUAUGAGUAGCUGCACUCCCCUGCUAGAACCUCCAAACGAGGUCUCAAAUUUGCACCCUGAAUUUCAACCCUGAACAUUAUCCCAGGUGACUUGGAUAUUUUCACAUUUUCUGAGGCACAUGCACCUUCUGUGAAUGU
This 274-nucleotide small nuclear RNA is filed under the name Heterocephalus glaber (naked mole-rat). RNAcentral's name for it is "7SK RNA". It matches the Rfam family "7SK RNA". From Rfam's summary of the family: 7SK was discovered as an abundant small nuclear RNA in the mid-70s but a possible function has only recently been suggested. The record is from Rfam by way of RNAcentral. Lineage: Eukaryota; Metazoa; Chordata; Mammalia; Rodentia; Bathyergidae.